UACGUAGGUGGCAAGCGUUGUCCGGAAUUCUUGGGCGUAAAGCGCGCGCAGGCGGGUUUUUAAGUCUGUCUUAAAAGUUCGGGGCUUAACCCCGUGAGGGGAUGGAAACUGGAAACCUAGAGUAUCGGAGAGGAAAGCGGAAUUCCUAGUGUAGCGGUGAAAUGCGUAGAUAUUAGGAAGAACACCAGUGGCGAAGGCGGCUUUCUGGACGAAAACUGCCGCUGAGGCGCGAAAGCCAGGGGAGCAAACGGG
Molecule: ribosomal RNA, 252 nt
Filed under: uncultured prokaryote
Description: partial 16S ribosomal RNA
Rfam family: Bacterial small subunit ribosomal RNA
Source: RNAcentral